Molecule: transfer RNA, 69 nt
Filed under: Chalarodon madagascariensis (Madagascar iguana)
Lineage: Eukaryota; Metazoa; Chordata; Lepidosauria; Squamata
Description: tRNA-Tyr
Rfam family: tRNA
About the family: Transfer RNA (tRNA) molecules are approximately 80 nucleotides in length. Their secondary structure includes four short double-helical elements and three loops (D, anti-codon, and T loops). Further hydrogen bonds mediate the characteristic L-shaped molecular structure. tRNAs have two regions of fundamental functional importance: the anti-codon, which is responsible for specific mRNA codon recognition, and the 3' end, to which the tRNAs corresponding amino acid is attached (by aminoacyl-tRNA synthetases). tRNAs cope with the degeneracy of the genetic code in two manners: having more than one tRNA (with a specific anti-codon) for a particular amino acid; and 'wobble' base-pairing, i.e. permitting non-standard base-pairing at the 3rd anti-codon position.
Source: RNAcentral
GGUAAAGUGGCUGAGUGUUUAAGCGGUAAGCUGUAGUCUUAUUAACGGGGGUUUAAUUCCUCUUUUUAC